This is a long non-coding RNA of Ictalurus punctatus (channel catfish), 3624 nucleotides long. The record is from Ensembl. NCBI's taxonomy places the organism in Eukaryota, Metazoa, Chordata, Actinopteri, Siluriformes, Ictaluridae.
CUUAGUCCCUAUCGUCACUCCUUAAAUACGAAACUGCAGGUGUAAAGACGUGUCGCAGAGCAAAAUACGUCACCGACUGUUUUAUAGUAGGGUUGUAUGCUGGGUCGGAAGGUUGCCAUGACAACCCUGACACUGUACUGUUUAGUUCGGAAGUACUGGGAUAACAGUAUUGUAUCGACAUUACAUUAGGCUAAUAUUGAAAUGAUAACGCCUAAAUGACACGACAUAGUGUUGGUCAUUACUUUUGGUAUCAGUUUGACGGGGAAAAAAAACCCAAAUUAAAACAAGCAUGCUGAUGAAGGAUCUGGCAACCGCGGGGAUGUGGGCGUGGCUUUGUUGCUCUGAGGUUUCAUCCCACCGCGCCUGUGAUUGUGUUCCACUCAAGCGGAAUUUGCCUCAGCAGGCUGUCUGAUUAUAUCUGAUUAUUGACAUGAUUAGACAUUCCUGCUUAAUUUGAUGCACUGUUAAUUUUUGAUAGUCGUUUGGACCUCCUUGGUCACUCCAGCCAGGUAAGACUUCUAUUACACUGAUGGUUUCUGUGCUGCUUUGCUGUGGAGGUUGUAUCAUAUUAAUAUUUAAUUCUGAUCAUAUAACAGAUUUGACUUGCAGGUGAGACAGGAAGGACAACAACUAGAGACGAGUGCUGUAUAUAUUUUCACCAGAUGCGUAUGUAGAUUUAAAAAAAAAAAAAAAAAAAAAAAAAAAAAAAAAGCAUGGGAGUUAAAGUGUGUGCAAGAACUCGAGAGGACCAGAGGCAGUGUUGCCAGGUGUGUUAGAAAUCUCUGGAUGACGUCAUGGAUUCAUUUGCAUCAUCAAGAUCAUUUGUAUGUCCAAACUUGUUACAUGAAGGGGGGGGGGGGGGGGGGACAAUAGAAAUUCUUGCAGAAUUUGUAAUGGUUAUAAUGGGAAUUGUAUUGGUUAUAAUGGAAACUGUAAUGGUCGCUGUGGGUCCCUACUGGUAAAUUGGGUUCUAUGUGGCAUGUUAUGUAUAGUGGCUACUAUCGAGGACUGGUAAUGGUUUGUAAUUGUAUUUGCAGUGGAAACCAUUAGAAUUUCCAAGAUGGUCUUCUGUUGUUUUGGGUUUGUUUUCAGCAGGGAAUAAAACAAGACUUUUGUCAGAAUAAAAAAUAUAUAAAAAUAUAUAUAUAAAUAUAUAAAGAAAUGUGUAUUUGGUCAUCUCACCACAGUAGUUAUUUGCAUAUUUAUCAAGGUUUAUCAAGGAGAUAAAAUGAAGCAAUGGGCAUGAGUAGUUGAGAAAUAGACACAAAGGACAUGGAUGGAAUGACUCGCUUAUAUUGCUUCUAGCAUGGACCUGGGAUCCCCCUGUUUCCUGGCCAGCAUCCUGUUACAAGCAUUUGUUCUCCCGAGCUGCCUCAGUGUUUCGGUUCGUUUCCCGAGCCAGCAGACCGUCUACGUGGUGACUGGGCAGAAUUUGGUCCUGCAGGCUGAGAUCGAGUUGUCCCAGGGGGAUCACGUCGCCAAGGUCACAUGGGAGCGUGAAGUCGAGGGAAAAAGGAAUUCUGGGAAAAGCGUGGUGGCUGAAUAUCCUGCUAAAAGCUCAGAAGGCCGGGUGAUCGUCGAGAAGGGCGGGUCUGUGAUGACGUUACGGGACUACCAGGGAACGGACAACGGCGUGUACACGGUCACCGUCCGAGACCAGAAAGGAGGUCAGAGUUCGGCACGCUGCACCGUCCACGAGUACGAGGCCGUGCACCAUGUGUCAGUGAUGGUGAACGUGUCGCACUCCAGCCUGCACUGCAUGGAAGCCUGGGGGACGGAGCCCGUCUUCCGUUGGCUCCACGAGAAAGUCGCGGUGACGGAGGCCGUGGGCCGCGUGUCAGCGGACGGCAGCUCUCUGUACCUGAACACGGCGCUGUGUGGCCACUUCACCUGCAUGGUGAGCAACAAGCUGGGCCACAGCUCGGCUACCUACACGGCAGAACCUUGUGAGAGAGAGAGCAGAGGAACCGCUGUAGCGGUUGUAUGUCUCGUGCUCUUGCUGCUCGUGGCUGGAGGUUUGACCUUCCUGCUCUGGAGGAAACGCACGAGUUACAGUAAUAGACGAGAGAGACUCCGGGAACCAGAUGAGGACAUUUAACCUCCACACUCAAGUCUGUGUGUCAGACUGAAACAUAAAUGGAAGAGACAAGAACUUAAGAUUGUUGCCUCUUCUCCAAGCACUUGGAUCAUUGCAAAACAUUCCAGAUAUGCUACCAGGGUUUUACUGGCUUUCAGUUACAGUCGGACAAGCCAAGGAGCGAAGAUCUCUCUUCCUUUUUUUUUUUUUUUUUUUUUUUUUAAAAAGGACCUUUACGAAGAAAAGAAAGCUGACGGUUUUGCAACUGUUUAAAUCUUCAGAAUAAGGAACAGCUUACUGUUAUUUCAUGUUUUUUUUUGUUUAGCUUGUUAUUAGUUGUGUUCGCAGUUCAUGUUAAGUUCUGUACAUGUACUGCAAUAAAAAAAGAGAAGACUUUUAAGGUAUUUCAAAGUCCAUGUUGUGUGACGAGUGAGUGAUGGAUGUGUUACGGCCCAGUCUAGGUUAGGCCGCACAGAGCAACCGGCUCGGGAUUCAAUGGAAUUUGACCUUUAAAUAAGGGAAGGCAGGAAUAACACAAAAUUAUAUACAUAUAACUGUACAAUGAACCAAAUCAGGCGUAACUUCAGGGUGGGCCAUGGCAAAUAAUGCUAUUGUUAGGUAGCUAGCUUACCGAAAAGGAAAAUAACAACGAAAAUACAAGGACUUCCCAAACUACCUAAGCCAAAAACAGAGACAAAGGACCCGCUCCCAAAAGAAAUGGCCACCACACCCCUACUGCCGGUGAACCAAGUGAACAUGUAUAUAAUGCUGAAUAGAAUGCACGAACAGGGACAGGGACGACCAAACUCGAAGUCCACAAACCAGGUAAAAGUCAAAAAACAGAAUUUGAUAGUCACAAGGGCGAGCAACACAAACCAAACAAUCUCCCAACAACAAAUCACACGUAACCACCUCCAACAUUCUCACUCCUCUUCCUCUUUAUACAUGGUCGUCAAUCAGUGAUGUCAUCCUGGGAGGCGGGAGCAAGGCACGCUAGGGAAGGCUGGAAACUCUGGGAGGGAGUUCAACCUGCAGACAAAAUAUGGCACAGCACACACACACACACAAAAAACAACUUCCCAUACCAAAGAUAGCGGGUUGUAACCAAUGGAUGUAGUGAUGAGGGAUGGAUUGAUGGUGUGAGGGAUGGAUGGAUGUAGUGAUGGAUGUGUGAGGAAUGGAUGGAUGUAGUGAUGGAGUGAUGGAGAAUGGAUGGAUGUAGUGAUGGAGUGAUGAGGGAUGGAUGGAUGUAGUGAUGGAGUGAUGAGGGAUGGAUGGAUGAAGUGAGGAAUGGAUGGAUUCUAAUUUUGUGCUGAGCAGAAAAGCAUCUGAGCGCACAUGUUAAACCUGAGGCAGAUGGGUUAGAACAGCAGAACCGCACCGGGUUCCACUUCCGUCAGCCAAGAACAGAACACCGAGGCUGCAGUGGGCACAGACUCACCAAAACCGGACAGCUGUAGACCGGAUAAACACAGAAGCAAAUUGUUAUUAUUUUGUCUUAUUUAGCGUCUGAAUGGCGGUACUAAACGAAAAAAACUAUUUACACC